UGGGCCCGGUGUCCCCGCCUGGCCUUGGGCCCUGUCGCGGGUCCCUGUCCCACGGCGGGCUCCACCCGCGGGGCCCGUGGCCCUCCAGCCCCAACGCAGCCUGCAGGAGCUGUCGGCCCCCGCUGAGCCGCACGCUGCUGGCCUUGGGGUCAGCCCGGUCACAUCUCCUGGACACACAAAACCCUUCCAAGGGCUUCUCCUGGCCGCUGCUGUGGGGUACAGACACGGAGUUCUUCAUCUGCUGCCACUCUUGUUUUCUUAAAUUGUCUUUUAGUUUUUAUUCCAGUCAUACGCCAGGUUUAAUUCAAAUAGAAGGCUCAACUUCCUAUUCCACAGGCCAAAAUGCAGCUCCUUUCAGGACUGGGAGGAUGUUUGAGAUGCUCCAAAAACCCUGUUAGAGGUGGCCAUCCUGAUCCCACACAGCAGCUGUAGUCACUGUCCCCACACAGAUGAUAAAGUUUUAAAGCACUAGGAUCCCCGCCUUAGAAAAACUCAGUUGUGCUCCUUAAAAAUAAAAAAGUUCCUGCUCCUGGAUCAGCUCUCAGUCAGAUAAAGUCAUAGACUCUGAUGGAAGAACAGAAAAUAAGAUGUUGGAGCAACACAGUCAGUGGUGAACAACAGGAGGAGUGCAAACCUCAGUAAGAUGUAGGUGCUCCUAAACAACUCCCUGCUGUUCAGCAUGGGGCUGCAAUUCAGCCCUGGAACGAUGGAUAAACCCAUUUCAGCACUGCUUUGUCUUUCUCUGGAGGCACCUAAAACUCAGCCUAUCCUGAACAAAGCCUGGCUCCAGCACCAAGCAGAGCCCAGCCCAGCCGAGGCACAGGAGCAAGAGCUGGGCUCUCACUGCGGGGUGGACACUGGGGCCAGAGCUCAGCUACAGGACACAGGAACCAGUGCCCAGGAGUAACAGAACCAUGGGAGAAAAUGGGGAAGCAGCUAAGGAGGGGUUCCUCUCAGUGUUGCUUGUAAAGCCAAACAACUCCCAAAAAUUACUGGAUUAGGGUGGGCAAUAAUCAGCAGUAAAAGGUUCAAUCCAAGAUGACCAUAUGCAGCAGGAGGAAUUCCUGCACAGCCAUAAGCCUUCCCAGGAAGCUUCUUCUCCAGGUCUGGAAGUGUAAAAGACUGUAAUAAUUAAUUCCUCUGCUGAGCAACAACAGCUGCAGCCACAGGGUGGGGACCUGCUAUGGAGGACAGGAAAAAAAGAAAAUAAAACUAACCUGCUCCAUACUCAAGAGCUUCUUGAAUCCCGUCGUUGCAGGAUGGAAAGUGAGGAUGAGCAGCAACAACUUCUCUGAAGAGCCUGUGCCAGGGCCUCACCAGGAAGGAUUUCUCUCCACUAUCCCACCUAUCCCUGCCCUCUGGCCCUGGGAGCCAUUCCCUGUGUCCUGUUCCUCCAUCCC
Long non-coding RNA from Cyanistes caeruleus (blue tit), 1400 nucleotides. RefSeq lists it as uncharacterized. The record is from RefSeq and is a predicted model, not a curated record. NCBI's taxonomy places the organism in Eukaryota, Metazoa, Chordata, Aves, Passeriformes, Paridae.